UACGUAGGGGGCAAGCGUUGUCCGGAUUUAUUGGGCGUAAAGAGCGUGUAGGCGGUUUGGUAGGUCCGCUGUGAAAACUCGAGGCUCAACCUCGAGACGCCGGUGGAAACCAUCAGGCUAGAGUCCGGAAGAGGAGAGUGGAAUUCCUGGUGUAGCGGUGAAAUGCGCAGAUAUCAGGAAGAACACCCGUGGCGAAGGCGGCUCUCUGGAACGCAACUGACGCUGAGACGCGAAAGCGUGGGGAGCAAACAGG
This 253-nucleotide ribosomal RNA is filed under the name uncultured bacterium. RNAcentral's name for it is "partial 16S ribosomal RNA". It matches the Rfam family "Bacterial small subunit ribosomal RNA", at positions 524 to 776 of the family's 1533-position model. The record is from RNAcentral.